This 253-nucleotide ribosomal RNA is filed under the name uncultured bacterium. Its description in RNAcentral is "partial 16S ribosomal RNA". It matches the Rfam family "Bacterial small subunit ribosomal RNA", at positions 524 to 776 of the family's 1533-position model. The record is from RNAcentral.
UACGAAGGGUGCGAGCGUUAUUCGGAAUCACUGGGCGUAAAGGGUGCGUAGACGGUACGUUAAGUUUGUUGUUAAAGACUCUAGCCUAACUGGAGGGUUGCAAUGAAAACUGGCGAGCUGGAGGGUGAGAGAGAGAAGUGGAAUUCCCGGAGUAGCGGUAAAAUGCGUGGAUCUCGGGAGGAACACCAAUGGCGAAGGCAGCUUCUUGGCUCAUUCCUGACGUUGAGGCACGAAAGCGUGGGGAGCAAACAGG